CACGAACGGACGCUCUCCCAACCCUCUGGGGUGUUUGCUCACUCAUGCAUGUGGGCCCCCAAAUCGGAGCCCAGCCCGUCCCCUGGGGGGACGGAGGCCUCUGCUCCGGGAGAGUUCUCCAAAGCCUGGGACCUUCCACAUCCCAGGGGAACUGUCACCGCAGCAGGAGACGCCACUGCACCCUUCCAGGAGCUGCUUAAGGAAAACUCCCAGAGACAGGCAUGGAAGCCACCUUCCCUCCAUGGAACUGGGGCUCUGAGGAGAGAGGAACAGCGAUAUCUUCCACUGAUAGAAGCGAAGGAAUAUCCAUCCAGUAGCACCGGCCGCGCAGGGCAUGCUUUGUUCCUGGAGAUAGCGGUACGCAUUCUCCCCUAAAGGCGACUGGGGGUGGGCUACGAUUUUGUAAUUUUUUAAACAUGAGCAGGCAUGCUCAUUACAGCGGCAUCUCCCUGUCUUCUGACCACAUACGAUGACUAAUUGCUCCCAUUAAGCCAAGUUCUGGGAUACACGUCAGGUGGAGCAGAAGAAUGGAGAUAAUGUUAAAAACUGCAUCAAAAUAAGUGGGACUUUCCCCAAGCGUAAAAGAAGCAUUUAUAAUCAUAAAUAUGAAAAACAUUAAAUUCUUCUACCCCAUCUUAAUGAAAUGAGAGAAAAAUUCCCUUUCCUCAAGAUUGGCAGUGGGUAAGAAAC
This 690-nucleotide long non-coding RNA is filed under the name Homo sapiens (human). RNAcentral describes it as "HSALNT0274726". The record is from RNAcentral. Lineage: Eukaryota; Metazoa; Chordata; Mammalia; Primates; Hominidae.